CUCAAAAUAAUCCGAAUGGAUUUCGAAUAGAAACAUGACAAAAAAAAAAUGCAGAUGAACAGCUCCGAGGGCGGAGAGAGAGAGAGAGAGAGAGAGAGAGAAUAAAGAGGACAGAAGCGUCAGGAUUAGAUAACUAUUCCACACCUGGACCUCCUGGUAGCUCAUCUCUCUCCUCUCCACUCGACUCUGAGACACUGCUGUAGAGGAAGUCGUUGAGGGCGGAGCAGAUAAGCAGGCGGGGCUGAAAUUCC
Ictalurus punctatus (channel catfish) is the source of this 251-nucleotide long non-coding RNA. The record is from Ensembl. NCBI's taxonomy places the organism in Eukaryota, Metazoa, Chordata, Actinopteri, Siluriformes, Ictaluridae.